AAAUACCAAUUCAUUUUAAGUAAAAAACAUUAUUAUUUCACUAUUUAAUUAAUUAUUUCAUGGUCCUUGUGUUGCAGUGGAUCAUGAAUUUAAUUUAUCUGUCAACCUCGCCCGUCAAAGUCGGUGGGCGGGACUAACGCGAAUCUAGUCUAAUCCAUUGCUUUGGUCUGCCUUGAAACCGGAAGUAGAAGAAGCCUUUCUAAACAUGGCGGCUGUGUUGAGGGAGGAUCGCUGUGAACUUUCUAGAGAGUUCGUGAGAGAUAUUUUAGACCUUUCAGAGCAUGUAGCGUGUAAAGCAGAGGAAUUUAUUGAAGUUGUUGGAGUUAUUUCCGCACUUUCCGACCAAGAUGUUGACCGUAGAGUGACUGCAAAUUUAGAAGAAGUACUCCGCCGCUUUUCUGGUACCAGGGCGCAACAGGAGCACACACAAGGACCAGGGCGUUUGGCAUACCGAGGGAAGUUCUGGAACAUCACGUUCUUUGUGGAUUUACCAGCCUGUCAAAUUGCAGCGAUGCUCGGAGGGCUUUUCCUUUAGGACCUACUCGGCGCGGCACGGCUCGGCUCGUCUUUGUUUAGCCGCGAUUCCACAAGCAUCUAUUCGGCACGGUAUGGCUCGUUUCCAGGUACUAUUUUCAGCACCUUCUCGGCUGAGGUUCCCAGCGAGCUGAGAGAGCCUAUAGUGUGACGUCUACAUAGUGCAGGCCACUGAUUGGACGGGGAGUGACGACACACAGAGCAACUCCAGCACGAAAACAAAACCCUGCAUUAAAAAACAACUGUAAACAGCGACGGUGUGCAUUGCUCUUCACGGAACUCUCUGUUCUUCAUAAUUUUAAUAUGACAGCCAGACCUGUACCGUGGGUGAAUGAAGAGGUCGAGACUUUUCUGUCUUUGGUGGCGGACCAAAGAAUACAGAGGGAGCUGGACGGAGAAAGUUUAUCAGGAAGUCUCUGAGCGGAUGGCCGCCCACAUAUACAGUAGACUGUAUAUAAAGAGGACAACGAAGGAGUGUAGGGAGAAGCUGAAAAAGCUAAAAAGUGACUAUCGGUCCACCAAGGACCACAACGGCCGGCGUGGGUCAACCAGGAGGUGUUGGAAGAGGUUUAAUGAACGCUAUUUAAUGGCACCGCACCGCCAGCACCAGGAGGGAGACUCAGCUGCUGCAUUAUUGGAGACGUUCGAGGACGAAUCUCUUUCCACAUGCGAAGCCUACUCCACCUCCGUCGCGGAGCCCCCAGCUCCCCUGCCUCUUCUCCGACACCAGCAGCGGCUCCUCUCCAGCACCAGCUUCGACACCAGUACCAACUCGGACACCGACCCUGUCAACAUCAACCUCCAGCACGUAACAGCAACGUCUUAUCACUGGCAAGAGGAAAAGAGGCCACAGAAAAUUGGACCUUCCUAGCGUACUUGUGGAGAUGCAGGCUGAGGAGGAGUGGAGUCAUGCCCAGCAUGAUGAGAACAUCUGGUUGCUCCUCAGCGAGACAAGAGAAAAUGAAGCGGCCUUGCAGCGGGAGGAGAUGGCCCAGAAUGCUGCCUUCAACCAGUCAUUCCUGGGUGUGCUGGGGCAGCUGGUGCAGGCAGUGGGCAGCCGGCGAGUGUGAUUUUUGGUGGCUGGCAAACUGAGAGAACUUUAGCGCUGUUCCAGACUAAUUUGACAAAAGAGACACUGCAUUGUGUUUUCUUGGCCAUUUGCAACGUCUUGUGUGCACCGAUGAACAAAUACUUAUGAUGGUCAAGAGAGGAUGAACUUGGCAACCUGGAAAAGGGCUUUCAAGACAAAGCUGACUUCCCUGAAGGCAUCGAUGGCGCACACACUCCCACCAGUGCACCUAUACUCCAAAGAAACAGCUGCAUAAACAGGAAAGAUCAGAGGCAGGUGAUGGUCCAGCAAGAGACAGAUUCAGUGGUGCAGGAGUGGAAGACUUGGGUGGUGCAGUGAGAAGGCUGAGUGGAGCUUGAGGAUUUAAUGCACUAACCUGUUCCAAAGGGCUCCGUGGGACAGAAAUGGGAGCAGUGAAGCCCCAACACAAACGCAACACAACAAUGGACAUGGAGGCAAUGGUUCACCUGCUGCUUGGUCUGUGGCUUUCUGUCAGAUUCAGAGUAAUAGAAGAGUCGGAGAAAGCUGAGAGCGGCGAGUGGAAACACUCAGGAGACACACAGGAGAGUUUAGGAGGCGAUGCAGCAGUAUCAAGCUGAAGACAAGAGGAUGGCUCUCUUACAAGACUUCAUGGGGUUUACCUGACACAGCAGCACAUGAGCCUGCAGUGGCACAAGGUGCUGGAUGUUCUCAUCAUGCUGGGCAUGACUCCACUCCUCCUCAGCCUACAUCUCCGCAAGUACACAAGGAAGGUCCAAGUUUCUGUGGCCCCUUUUCCUCUUGCCUAGACCAAAGACAGAAAAGUGAUCAGAAUCAGCUUUAAUGGCCAAGUAAUUACACAACAUACAAGGAAUUUGGUUUCGGCUGUUGGUGUCACACUAGGAAUAUGGAAGAGAAUAAAAAAAAAAGAAAGAAAGAAAUUAUAGAAAGAGGAACAGGGAGGGAAAAUAAAUAGUAGUAAAAUUAAAUAGAACACAAUAUAGACAGGAUUGUACAGCUAGACUGGAAUAUAUGAACACAUUAGCAAAAUGAUAAUUGCAAAAAACACAGUAGUGCAAAAAGCAGAGAAUGCAGCUGGCGCAAAAAAACACCAUAGUAUACUAUGUCGACGAAAAAUGUGAUUUUUCAACAUGUUGUAAAAACGUGCCAUAUGAUGAAAUAAUGUAAAGGAGGCUGUGAAAAACACCAUGGUAAGGUUUUCUUUGAAAAAAAAAUCAUCACGAAUUUUGGUGCAAAAAAAAACGCCUUACUAUACUAUGUCGAAAAAAAUGCAACUUUUCAAACAUGUAGUAAAAACGUGCCAUACGAUGAAAUAAUGUAAAGGAGGGCGUGAAAAACACUAUGGUAAGGUUUUCUUUGAAAAAAAAAUCAUCAUGAAUUUUGGCGCAAAAAAACGCCUUACUAUACUAUGUCGAAAAAAAAGGCGAUUUUUCAAACAUGUUGUAAAAACAUGCCAUAUGAUGAAAUGAUGUAAAGGAGGCCGUGAAAAACACUCCCGAAAGGUUUUCUUUGAAAAAAAAAUCAUCAUGAAUUUUGGCGCAAAAAAAUGCCUUACUAUACUAUGUCGAAAAAAAAUGCGAUUUUUCAAACAUGUUGUAAAAACGUGCCAUAUGAUGAAAUAAUGUAAAGGAGGGCGUGAAAAACACUCCAGAAAGGUUUUCUUUGAAAAAAAAUCAUCAUGAAUUUUGGCGCAAAAAAAAAAGCCAUUUUUUUUGGCAUUUUUUUUAAAUAAAGUUUUGUCUUUUGUUUUUCCUCUCGUGAAGGCUUCUGGUGAAGUCUAUGAGGGACAUCAGAGCAGAUGGUGCCAAGUAUGAUGAGCUACUUAAGUGUCACAGCAGUGAUUCUACACAAGAGGGAGAUUCUCCAGCUGAGAAGAUUAAAAAGGUGCAGUUGUUGUGGUCGACCAUUGAUGGAAUGCUGUCGACGAUCAAAGAGGAGAAGAAUGCAGUGGAAAGUGUUUUGAAGGGGGAUGCAGAUCAAUACAUUUUGGACGGGAUGGAUGGAGUCCUCAGAAUUCCUCGUUGUCUGCUGGAGAGAAUUGAAAAGCUUCCACAUCAGUUAAGUUCAGGGAAUGUGUAUGAAGGUGGCCAGCUGAACCUCCUGUGUGUGAUGGAGCUGAUGAACUAUGCAUCACAGCUUCUGAAAGAACAUGUUGUAAAAGCGUGCCAUAUGAUGAAAUAAUGUAAAGGAAGCCAUGAAAAACACUUCAGAAAGACUUACUUACUUCUCUGUCUACUUUUCUUACUCCAUGUAGGUUUCCCAGAGACUUUGGGUUGAGGAGGAAGUGGAAGUUUGUUGGCUUAGACCUGGUGUCAUUCCAUCAGUGUUUAACUUCCCGGCUCAUCUUGGAAGAGUAUGUGCCAGAAAGACCACGACCAAGCAGCCUUGAGAUCUUAGACAGCGUCUCCCUCAGACAUCCACCAACCACUGGAACACAUCUCCAAAGUUCUGCCGGGCCAGCUCAGCUUCCCCUCAGAAGAAGUGCUGCCACCUGCCAGAUGAAGGAGCCUUUUGAGAGGCAGCUGGCAUCGUGAUUGGACUGUACUUUGGUCUGUUCCAAUCCAGCUUCAGCUCCAGAGACGGCAGGCGGGACGAGUCAACGGAGGCCAGGUGGACGAAGGCAUGCAGCUGAGUACAAUCCAGAAAACAACAGAGGAGGAGUGCAGCGGCCCAGGGCCAGAACAACCAGAGUAGCAUCGUAUGUCUCUUAGAAAACAUCAUAGUAUAGCCUUUGGGAUGAAAAAACACCAUCAUAUACAUCGUAUAUUGUACAAAUAACAAGUCAAAGGAAAGAGACAUACAUUGUAGAACUGUAGUAAUUGUGGGCUGAGUGAUUUACUGAUUAUCAGUAUUUUAUUUUUUACUGAUUUACGGUAAUAAAUACAUUUAAAAAUGGUGCUA
Amphiprion ocellaris (clown anemonefish) is the source of this 4504-nucleotide long non-coding RNA. RefSeq lists it as uncharacterized. The record is from RefSeq and is a predicted model, not a curated record. The transcript has 8 exons. NCBI's taxonomy places the organism in Eukaryota, Metazoa, Chordata, Actinopteri, Pomacentridae.